Molecule: small nucleolar RNA, 86 nt
Organism: Peromyscus maniculatus bairdii (prairie deer mouse)
Lineage: Eukaryota; Metazoa; Chordata; Mammalia; Rodentia; Cricetidae
Source: Ensembl
GGCCAAUGAUGAAUUCUGGCAUGUACUGCCUGAAUUUACUGCUGAACUCCACGUACACUUUAGCUCUAGAAUUCUGCUGGGACACU